Molecule: ribosomal RNA, 634 nt
Filed under: uncultured Marinobacter sp.
Lineage: Bacteria; Pseudomonadati; Pseudomonadota; Gammaproteobacteria; Pseudomonadales; Marinobacteraceae
Description: bacterial SSU rRNA
Rfam family: Bacterial small subunit ribosomal RNA
Source: RNAcentral
CGCCUGGGGAGUACGGCCGCAAGGUUAAAACUCAAAUGAAUUGACGGGGGCCCGCACAAGCGGUGGAGCAUGUGGUUUAAUUCGACGCAACGCGAAGAGCCUUACCUGGCCUUGACAUGCAGAGAACUUUCCAGAGAUGGAUUGGUGCCUUCGGGAACUCUGACACAGGUGCUGCAUGGCCGUCGUCAGCUCGUGUCGUGAGAUGUUGGGUUAAGUCCCGUAACGAGCGCAACCCCUAUCCCUAGUUGCUAGCAGUUCGGCUGAGAACUCUAGGGAGACUGCCGGUGACAAACCGGAGGAAGGUGGGGAUGACGUCAGGCCAUCAUGGCCCUUACGGCCAGGGCUACACACGUGCUACAAUGGCGCGCGCAGAGGGCUGCAAACCCGCGAGGGGGAGCCAAUCUCACAAAACGCGUCGUAGUCCGGAUCGCAGUCUGCAACUCGACUGCGUGAAGUCGGAAUCGCUAGUAAUCGUGAAUCAGAAUGUCACGGUGAAUACGUUCCCGGGCCUUGUACACACCGCCCGUCACACCAUGGGAGUGGAUUGCACCAGAAGUGGUUAGUCUAACCUUCGGGAGGACGAUCACCACGGUGUGGUUCAUGACUGGGGUGAAGUCGUAACAAGGUAACCGUA